CCCUUAGACGUUCUGGGCCGCACGCGCGCUACACUGACCAGUGCAACAAGCAUCCGUCCUUGGCCGACAGGCCCGGGCAAUCUUUGAACGCUGGUCGUGAUGGGGAUAGACUUUUGCAAUUUUUGGUCUUCAACGAGGAAUUCCUAGUAAACGCAAGUCAUCAACUUGCAUUGAUUACGUCCCUGCCCUUUGUACACACCGCCCGUCGCACCUACCGAUUGAAUGGUCCGGUGAAGCCUCCGGAUUGGCGCGCACCUCGGUGCCGCCGAGAAGUUGGCUAAACCUUACCAUUUAGAGGAGGGUGAAGUCGUANCA
This 315-nucleotide ribosomal RNA is filed under the name uncultured eukaryote. RNAcentral's name for it is "partial 18S ribosomal RNA". It matches the Rfam family "Eukaryotic small subunit ribosomal RNA", at positions 1470 to 1796 of the family's 1831-position model. The record is from RNAcentral.